GUGUUUCUUCAUGUCAGACUUCUGGUGAAACCUCUUGCCGCAGUACUGGCAGGGGUAAGGCCGCGUGUCGGAGUGGAUGAGGAGCUGCCAACUGCUCGGAAACCAAAGGGCACGUGGGAAAUGUCUGCAGCAGCCAGGGAUCUCGACAAAGGGAUGGAGAGGGUGUUGUACACUUGGUCCCGCAGACUCCCUGACAUUAGGGCAUCUGAAAGAGACUGAGGAGAAAGGAGCAAGAAGAAUGAGAUAUAUUCAUGUUAGAUAAAGGGUUCAGUGGAUUCACUUUGCACAGAAAUAGAGCGGACAAUCCCUGACCGGUGAUUUGAGGUCAGUGUGCGACGUGUGGUUGAGCAGCAAGAAGACGAGCCUCUCCAGUUCUCUCUC
Long non-coding RNA from Poecilia latipinna (sailfin molly), 381 nucleotides. RefSeq lists it as uncharacterized. Lineage: Eukaryota; Metazoa; Chordata; Actinopteri; Cyprinodontiformes; Poeciliidae. The transcript has 3 exons. The record is from RefSeq and is a predicted model, not a curated record.